CAGUCGCCACGGUAAUACGUAGGUGGCAAGCGUUGUCCGGAAUUAUUGGGCGUAAAGGGCUCGCAGGCGGUUUCUUAAGUCUGAUGUGAAAGCCCCCGGCUCAACCGGGGAGGGUCAUUGGAAACUGGGAAACUUGAGUGCAGAAGAGGAGAGUGGAAUUCCACGUGUAGCGGUGAAAUGCGUAGAGAUGUGGAGGAACACCAGCGGCGAAGGCGACUCUCUGGUCUGUAACUGACGCUGAGGAGCGAGAGCGUGGGGAGCGAACAGGAUUAGAUACCCGCGUAGUCCCUGUCUCUUAUAC
Molecule: ribosomal RNA, 301 nt
Filed under: uncultured bacterium
Lineage: Bacteria
Description: partial 16S ribosomal RNA
Rfam family: Bacterial small subunit ribosomal RNA
Source: RNAcentral